GACGAACGCUUGCGGCGUGCCUAAGAAAUGCAAGUCGAGCGGGGAUGCUUCGCAUCGAGAUGAUAGAGGCUAGAUGGAAGAUGGCAGAUUCUUCCAUCCUCCAUCUUCCAUCUUGUCAUCUGGAUGCGGAGCAUUCCAGCGGCGAACGGUCGCGUAACACGUAAGCAACCUGCCCCGAAGACCGGGACAACAGUGAGAAAUCGCUGCUAAUACCGGGAUGUGGCCACCGGGAGACAUCUUCUGGUGAUUAAACGAGCUAGCAAUAGUAUUCGGCUUCGGGAGGGGCUUGCGGCCUAUCAGCUAGUUGGUGGGGUAACGGCCUACCAAGGCGACGACGGGUAGCUGGUCUGAGAGGACGAUCAGCCGGA
RNAcentral lists this ribosomal RNA (368 nucleotides) under uncultured bacterium. RNAcentral describes it as "bacterial SSU rRNA". It matches the Rfam family "Bacterial small subunit ribosomal RNA", at positions 28 to 312 of the family's 1533-position model. The record is from RNAcentral.